Long non-coding RNA from Pongo pygmaeus (Bornean orangutan), 2368 nucleotides. RefSeq lists it as uncharacterized. Lineage: Eukaryota; Metazoa; Chordata; Mammalia; Primates; Hominidae. The record is from RefSeq and is a predicted model, not a curated record. The transcript has 2 exons.
ACAACUUCCAGCUUUCAGCCCCUUGGAGAGAUCUCCAAGUUCCCCCAAGCCGCCAGGACUUCCUUUCCUCGAUCUCUCGGCCGCCUCCUCCUCCUUCUCCGAUCGUUUUUUUUCCCCUCCCCCCACUGUCUUCUCUACGGUUUAAUUAAAGUUCAGCGACUCCAUUUGCCUCUCCUCUCAUUUCUUUCGGAAAGCGGAAACCAGACGACCCAGCGGCCGCGGUACGAGCCGCCCCAACUCAACCCCAGCAGGACGCUGGAGGGGCCUCCCUCGCCCGCCUCUCUUCGCCGGCGCUGGCCUCCCGCACCCAGGUCUGCAGUCCCUCCGCCAUCUCGUAGGUGUGCAGCCGCUAGGCCUGGGGGAUCCGAAUGACUGGGGCUGGAUAGGAAUGCCUUCGUGUUUCCCAAGACCCCCGGGCCUGCUCCACAAAGUUUGAAGGGUGGGUACACCCCGACCCAGGCAAGUUGCUCCCCCAAACCCAUGACUGACUAAUCUGAUAUGACAAAAGCCCAUGAUGGAUUUGGUAUAUGUUAAUUCACAAUGCCCUUUCCUCCAGAAUUUAACUAUAAGUUAAUACACACCGGAAACCACGCGCAUACACGCUCCUUAAUGGGCUUAGGUAUUAGCGAGUCCUAACGAUGCAUACAAAUGUGCUCUGCGCUCUGUAGGCCCCUCAAGAUUUAUGGGCCUUGAGCUCUCUGAAGCUGUAAACAAGGAGAAAAAAAAAAAGAGAAAGCGAAAGCGACUCGGGGGAAGAGACGGAGGCCUGACUCGCCCCUCCAGGUUGUGGGAGAGAAGGGAUUCUUUACGUAUUUUCCUUUCCUUGCAAGCUCGGUGCGUGUGGGUUUUGGCGUUGGUCUGGGGGUGGUGUUCUGCCUGAAUGCUGGUGUGCAUGGGCAGUGUGUUGUUUGCGUGCUGGGGUAGGAUGCCUGCCUCUUCGGAUUGCUGUGCAGGGGCCUGAACACAGCAGGCAUUUGUGAGCAUAUAUGCGUGAGUGUGUGCACUGUGUUAGGGUGUGUGUGUGUAUGUGUGUUUGUGUGUGUGUGUGACACAGAGAGAGAGAGAGAGAGAGAGAGAGGUAGGCUUCCCCCUGGGCCAGGCUGCUGUCCCCUGAACGGUGGUGAACAAAUCUCUAACAAUCAUAGUAACAAUAAAUAAUGAAUAAUAAUAAUAAAACAGUAGUUAACAGUCCCUCCAUAACAGAGUAACAAUAAAAUGCAAGAGGAAAUAUUUUGAGGUGGAGACAGAAGAAGGAGUCAGGAUCACAGCAUCUGAGGGGGAGAUAGGAAAGGCAGGGAGGAAGAAAGCUUCUUAAUAUGCUCUUGGCGGGGCUGGGGUUGGGAACCCCUUUCCCAGACAAGGGACAGAAGAGGGGAAGGAGAACCAGGAGGCCACUCUUUAUUGCCACUCUUUAUUGCUUUUUUUCUCAGGCUUCUGCUUUGUGUGAUCAGGGAAGGGAUCCCACAUAUGGGGAUGGUUAAUGGCUUUUGGGACUCUCUAGGAGCCCCUGUUUUAAGGAGGCCAAAUGUGCAGGCUCAGGCCAAGGGGCAGAGAUGAAUGAGGCGAUGACCACAGCCUUGAUCCGGCAGGAGCUCAGAGAUGCCCAGGAAGACUGGGGGCCCGAACGGAAGCAGAAAAACACUUAUGGCCGCUGGGGAGUUGGGAGAGCCAGGCUGGGGCUCCGGCAGGCCCAGGCAAAUUUCCCUUUCUAGGCUCUUUAUUAAAAAAUUUAAAAGGAGGAGUUGAGGCGCCUUGAAUUUUCCUUCGCGAGUUUGGAGGCUAGCCGAUUUUUCAUGAAGCAAGCAAAGACCGCGGUCCCGGAUCCUGCAACAUCUACCUCAUUCUCUCCAGGCCUCUCCACUUGCCCGAGCUCUCAGCCACCAGGAGACAGACAGAAGGGGCUUCUGGGCUGCGUUGGGAGCGGGCACUGUCCCCUACCCACUCCUGCUCGGUUUCCCAAAGUCCAGCGACCUCCGACCCUCCUUGGGGGGAAAAAUACCAGUACCCAGACACCUCCGCACCCUGUUAUAUGACUGGGCUUGCUUCAGGAAUAUCUUACAAAGAAGAAGAAGAAGAAGAAAGAACGGCUUGGAGUCAUGUUUACAUCUAGUUCUACUGAUCCGUUCACAUCUGGAGAGUUUAUUUAUAACUCCCUCUAUAACUCUCUGUUUGGAGGCACUGGUGGCUCUAUUGACAGACUGAUGUCUAGGAAAUAUUGCUCUAUGUCUAACCGUACCUAAAUGUGCUGUGGUUGUAUUUACAGAUUUAUGUUUGAGGGAAAUAUAAUUAUUUCCAUUGUAUUUGUGCAUAUACAGUAGUUAUAGGAGCAGAUUUAUAUAUGGGAAAAUAUAUGACUCUCUUACAGCCA